AUCUUGUUUUUAUUCCGAUCAUCAGUUAAAUUAAUAAAAGCAAAUUGAGGCAAUUGUAUCCGCUUUUAUUUAAAUAAACGAAAAUAUAAGCAUGCAAAUGAAAAUGAUGAAAUGCCCGUUGAUAUGUAUACAUAUAGUCAAACCUUAUUUGCAAAAUAAUGUACAAGUGAAUUCGUACAAAUUAUGUAUGUGUGAUAAUCAGUGUAAACUGUGAUAGCAUACAUAUAUGCGUGCGCAUUGUUUUGAAACGCGCAUCGAGGAUAUUAUUAUAUUAUUUUCAACAAUUGGAUAAAGUGCCUGUCGGGUAUCCCCAAGCAAUCCCAUCGAGGGAAAAGAUAUAUGGCUAGACAUCUGGGUUCAAAUGUCAGCACCCGCCACGAUCAGAUGAUGCACUUCUGCGCUGGGAUACCCUGAUGUCACGCAUGUUAGCACGCAAAGGGUAAAAUCGACCCAAAGCGACGGCGAGCAUAAUGAAUGUUUGAGAUAUUUGUGAUAACAUUUAACAGACGCGUCUGUCCCAGCAAAAGAAAUUUUACAUUGGUCUCAAACCGCUUGAGUGCGAGAUAGUUACUUAACGGCUAAGUUAUUAGGAUUGAUUAAAAAUCUAUAGAUAAUAUUCAUUUGUUUAUUUUUAGUAAAUAUAAAUAUCUUUAUUAUGCUGACUGGUGUAAAUCUCUGUAUUAAUAGAUCUUUUCAUUCGGUUUUAAUACAUAUGCCCUUAGAUUAGAGAUAACAGAACUUUGCGUUAUAUUCUAAUAAAAACUAAUAAUUGUUAUCCACAGCAUUAAAAUCAAGGAACGCCCGUAUGAAUGUGAAGUAUGCCUUAACAACGCGAAAACUGGUUGACUUAGACGUGCAGACGCGAAAACCUACUAAAGGUGAAAUCAUGUUAAUCUGUUGUGAAUUUAAAAAUAUACUACAUUUAAAUUAUAAUUUGAAGAAAGAUACUAAUAGAAAGAUAGUUAUAAUCCAGAUUUGAUUAUCCAAAAUUUGAUGAAAUAAAAUGGCCUGGUUAAUGCCGAAUUGUAAACUCUUUUACAUAUUUUUAAAAUGAAUCUUAAAAUUAUAUUACUAAUGUAAAACAUAGGUAUAUUAAUAUUUCAAUUUUUAUAUAUAUUAUUAUUUUUGAAAUGUAUUACAUAACAACUUUUAAUAGCUUGCAUUAAUUACAAAAUAUUCAAUUUAACUUACAAUUACAUUUCAGUUUAAUUAUUGAAAAAAAUAUUACAAAUGCAAACACUAGUUUUGGUAUUUUAGUUUCAUACACUUAAAAUAAACAAUAGCUUCCUCCAAAUCGAAAAUGCAAUAUUUUUAAUGAUUUAUUAUCGAUAGUUAGCAGCUCUCAUUCGCUCAUCUCGAAGCGUUGCCGAUAGCUAAAAACUAUCGGAAAUUCAUCAUCAAAUAGUAUCGUUGCUGCACGAAACUUGACAAUCGUGCUACCAGCGCUAUCGGCAACAUUUAAAUGCUUAAAUUUAAUAAAAAAAAAAACUAUAAAGUUAAGUUUCGACGCCGGAAAUAGAAUCUUGAGAAAAAACUACGUGGAAUAGACACCACACCCAACUUAUUUGAAGUUCACUUUUGUAGAGUAAUAAAAACGAUGCAUUACCCCAAAAAUAAAUGGCGCCAUGCCAAUGCAGAAUCAUCAGGUACAAAACCAUUUUUAAAAGAUUUGUUGUAACUUACCAGCAGAAGAAAAUGUUGGCGUUUUCCAAGUAGCAAAAGCCCAGCACUCAAAGGGACGGCUAAAGCAACAUUGGCAGCCUGAGCACUUUCAGCGGCGGAGUUAGACUUUACGAACUCGUAAACUUACUUUAUUUUAAUUUCACAAUGACCAAGAUGGGUCGCCAUAUAUAUCUGCGUAGUAAGCGUUACCGAUACUAUUAUUUGUUUAGGCGGAAACAAUAUAAAAGUCCAUAUGUAUAUUGUUAUAUUGUGUUAUAGGAGAGCAAUCGAGAACUCUAGGAAUAAUUGACACUUACAAGUUGUUAACUUUUAAUAGUAAUCUCCGGCCUCAGUAGCGCGACUGAAAAUAACUAAAAAAGAGAUGCAUACAUUUUUCUGAUUGAAUGGCAGUCGAACUAUCGAUAAAAAAAACUAAUGGAAUGCUCUCGAUGGGGAAGCUAUCGGAAAAUAAACCUUGUAUGGUAAUCAUUUCGUAAGUUAGUCAGGACAAACUAUUUCACAUCUAGGUCUUGCCAUUUAUUCUAACCUCUGUCCACUAAACACAUUUCUGAAAAUGUCACAUUUUUGAAAAAAUGUCACAUAUUUGAAAAAUGUGUAAAAAUGUCACAUUUUUGAAAAAGGUGUAUUUUUGCCCCGAAAAUUUCGUGUUUUUUGCGAUGAUUAAUCGAGAUUUCUAUCGAUGUUGGGAAAAAUGUGAAAGUAUCAAACGCAAAAACAGCUGAUAUAUCAACGAGUGCAAGCAGCAUCUUUAAAAAAAAAAUUUAAAUGGCACGUAACAAGUAUAAUUUCAUAGCAUUUUAAUGUGAAAUCAAGAUACUCUAAACAUCGGACUAUCGUAAUAAACGUUCGAAUUGUAACAUCUUGUUUUUAUUCCGAUCAUCAGUUAAAUUAAUAAAAGCAAAUUGAGGCAAUUGUAUCCGCUUUUAUUUAAAUAAACGAAAAUAUAAGCAUGCAAAUGAAAAUGAUGAAAUGCCCGUUGAUAUGUAUACAUAUAGUCAAACCUUAUUUGCAAAAUAAUGUACAAGUGAAUUCGUACAAAUUAUGUAUGUGUGAUAAUCAGUGUAAACUGUGAUAGCAUACAUAUAUGCGUGCGCAUUGUUUUGAAACGCGCAUCGAGGAUAUUAUUAUAUUAUUUUCAACAAUUGGAUAAAGUGCCUGUCGGGUAUCCCCAAGCAAUCCCAUCGAGGGAAAAGAUAUAUGGCUAGACAUCUGGGUUCAAAUGUCAGCACCCGCCACGAUCAGAUGAUGCACUUCUGCGCUGGGAUACCCUGAUGUCACGCAUGUUAGCACGCAAAGGGUAAAAUCGACCCAAAGCGACGGCGAGCAUAAUGAAUGUUUGAGAUAUUUGUGAUAACAUUUAACAGACGCGUCUGUCCCAGCAAAAGAAAUUUUACAUUGGUCUCAAACCGCUUGAGUGCGAGAUAGUUACUUAACGGCUAAGUUAUUAGGAUUGAUUAAAAAUCUAUAGAUAAUAUUCAUUUGUUUAUUUUUAGUAAAUAUAAAUAUCUUUAUUAUGCUGACUGGUGUAAAUCUCUGUAUUAAUAGAUCUUUUCAUUCGGUUUUAAUACAUAUGCCCUUAGAUUAGAGAUAACAGAACUUUGCGUUAUAUUCUAAUAAAAACUAAUAAUUGUUAUCCACAGCAUUAAAAUCAAGGAACGCCCGUAUGAAUGUGAAGUAUGCCUUAACAACGCGAAAACUGGUUGACUUAGACGUGCAGACGCGAAAACCUACUAAAGGUGAAAUCAUGUUAAUCUGUUGUGAAUUUAAAAAUAUACUACAUUUAAAUUAUAAUUUGAAGAAAGAUACUAAUAGAAAGAUAGUUAUAAUCCAGAUUUGAUUAUCCAAAAUUUGAUGAAAUAAAAUGGCCUGGUUAAUGCCGAAUUGUAAACUCUUUUACAUAUUUUUAAAAUGAAUCUUAAAAUUAUAUUACUAAUGUAAAACAUAGGUAUAUUAAUAUUUCAAUUUUUAUAUAUAUUAUUAUUUUUGAAAUGUAUUACAUAACAACUUUUAAUAGCUUGCAUUAAUUACAAAAUAU
Drosophila novamexicana is the source of this 3718-nucleotide long non-coding RNA. RefSeq lists it as uncharacterized. NCBI's taxonomy places the organism in Eukaryota, Metazoa, Arthropoda, Insecta, Diptera, Drosophilidae. The record is from RefSeq and is a predicted model, not a curated record. The transcript has 4 exons.